UGGGAUCCCUUAAACCCAAGCACUGCCUUGAC
RNAcentral lists this non-coding RNA (32 nucleotides) under Homo sapiens (human). The record is from RNAcentral. Lineage: Eukaryota; Metazoa; Chordata; Mammalia; Primates; Hominidae.